RNAcentral lists this ribosomal RNA (254 nucleotides) under uncultured bacterium. Its description in RNAcentral is "partial 16S ribosomal RNA". It matches the Rfam family "Bacterial small subunit ribosomal RNA", at positions 524 to 776 of the family's 1533-position model. The record is from RNAcentral.
UACGUAGGGGGGCUAGCGUUGUCCGGAAUUAUUGGGCGUAAAGAGCUCGUAGGCGGUUUGUUGCGUCUAUCGUGAAAACCUGCAGCUUAACUGUGGGCUUGCGGUGGAUACGGGCAGACUUGAGUUCGGUAGGGGAGACUGGAAUUCCUGGUGUAGCGGUGGAAUGCGCAGAUAUCAGGAGGAACACCGGUGGCGAAGGCGGGUCUCUGGGCAGUAACUGACGCUGAGGAGCGAAAGCGUGGGUAGCAAACAGG